GACGAACGCUGGCGGCGUGCUUAACACAUGCGAGUCGAACGGAAAGGCCCUGCUCUUGUGGGGUGCUCGAUUGGCGAACGGGUGAGUAACACGUGUGUAACCUGCCCUUGACUUUGGGAUAACUUCAGGAAACUGGGGCUAAUACCGGAUAGGAGCUCCUGCUGCAUGGUGGGGGUUGGAAAGUUUCGGCGGUUGGGGAUAGACUCGCGGGUUAUCAGCUUGUUGGUGGGGUAGUGGCUUACCAAGGCUUUGACGGGUAGGCGGCCUGAGAGGGUGACCGGGCACAUUGGGCCUGAGGUACGGCCCAGACUCCUACGGGAGGCAGCAGUGGGGAGUAUUGCACAGUGGGCGGAAGCCUGAUGCAGCAACGCCGCGUGCGGGAUGCCGGCCUUCGGGUUGUGAACCGCUUUCGCCUGUGACGAAGCGUGAGUGACGGUAAUGGGUAAAGAAGCACCGGCUAACUACGUG
This 468-nucleotide ribosomal RNA is filed under the name uncultured bacterium. RNAcentral's name for it is "partial 16S ribosomal RNA". It matches the Rfam family "Bacterial small subunit ribosomal RNA", at positions 28 to 507 of the family's 1533-position model. The record is from RNAcentral.